GAUGAACGCUGGCGGCGUGCCUAAUACAUGCAAGUCGAACGAACGGACGAGAAGCUUGUUUCUCUGAUGUUAGCGGCGGACGGGUGAGUAACACGUGGAUAACCUACCUAUAAGACUGGGAGAACAACGGGAAACAGGAGCUAAUAAUGCAGAAUAUUUUGUACCGGUUGGUUCAAAAGUGAAAGACGGCUUUUCUGUCACUUAUAGAUGGUUCCGCGCUGCAUUAGCUAGUUGGUAAGGUAACGGCUUACCAAGGCAACGAUGCAUAGCCGACCUGAGAGGAUGAUCGGCCACACUGGAACUGAGACACGGUCCAGACUCCUACGGGAGGCAGCAGUAGGGAAUCUUCGGCAAUGGGCGCAAGCCUGACGGAGCAACGCCGCGUGAGUGAUGAAGGUCUUCGGAUCGUAAAACUCUUUUAUUGGGGAAGAACAUAUGUGUAAUUAACUGUGCACAUCUUGACGGUACCUAAUCAGAAAGCCCCGGCUAACUACGUG
RNAcentral lists this ribosomal RNA (497 nucleotides) under uncultured bacterium. RNAcentral describes it as "partial 16S ribosomal RNA". It matches the Rfam family "Bacterial small subunit ribosomal RNA", at positions 28 to 507 of the family's 1533-position model. The record is from RNAcentral.